UGGGCUUGAAGUGCAGUGGCACGGUCUGUGAAAGCGGAUCUUUUCUUCGGAACUGCUGUAG
This 61-nucleotide ribosomal RNA is filed under the name uncultured bacterium. RNAcentral describes it as "partial 16S ribosomal RNA". The record is from RNAcentral.